GGUUGCCUACCCCUGGGUUAGAGUAUUGGACUUUGACUCUGGAGACCAGGGUUCAAAUCCCUGGUGAGCCA
Molecule: non-coding RNA, 71 nt
Organism: Phrynosoma platyrhinos (Desert horned lizard)
Lineage: Eukaryota; Metazoa; Chordata; Lepidosauria; Squamata; Phrynosomatidae
Source: the annotation of a GenBank genome assembly